AUGCCUUUUAUACUUAGUGUAGACCCAAAUUUUUUUUCCCUUUUUGAGAUAAAUCCUAAAUUUUAUUUAUUAACUAUUUUUAUUAUGAUCUCUCCAUAAUACCCUUAAGUAUUUCCUUGUAUAGAUCCAAUUUUCUAUUUAACAAAACCUAUAAUUUAAUAUUAAAUUAUAAUAAUUUAAUUACAUCAACCCUAAUCUUACCAAACGAUGUUUCACGAUUCUUUUUCUUUCAACAUCAGCGCCCCCCUCUCUUCCUCAACAGUAGCAGCGAUUUCUUCUUCCAAAAAUUUUCGGUCCUCUUAGCCGACGUGAGACAUUCACUCCAAAUCUCGGCCUUCUCCAUCGAUGUAAGACAUCCACUGUUUCGACAUCAGUCGUCGCGGCUCCUUCAUCCUCUAGAUCAGAGAUCUCCAUCUUUCCAGACGGCACAGAAAGAUCUUGUGUUUUUUUUUGUGAUGGGAUCGACGAGUUGUACGGUGGGCUUGCACAAGGAGUGAUGGCAACAAGUGAGACGAGGUUGGGUGAUGCCCGGGUGAAUCUACUAUUGUAAGCGAUGACAUUGUUUAUUAAAGGGGACUUUUGUGUUGAUUUAGGCAAGUUUUUAGUGGAUUUUCUCUUUGUAAAGUAGAUCUUUUGUAAUGAAUUUCUAUAUUUUUGUAGUGUUUUUGAUGAA
Molecule: long non-coding RNA, 673 nt
Organism: Erythranthe guttata (spotted monkey flower)
Lineage: Eukaryota; Viridiplantae; Streptophyta; Magnoliopsida; Lamiales; Phrymaceae
Source: RefSeq, a predicted model, not a curated record